This 253-nucleotide ribosomal RNA is filed under the name uncultured bacterium. Its description in RNAcentral is "partial 16S ribosomal RNA". It matches the Rfam family "Bacterial small subunit ribosomal RNA", at positions 524 to 776 of the family's 1533-position model. The record is from RNAcentral.
UACGAAGGGGGCUAGCGUUGCUCGGAAUCACUGGGCGUAAAGCGCACGUAGGCGGCUCUUUAAGUCAGAGGUGAAAUCCUGGGGCUCAACCCCAGAACUGCCUUUGAUACUGAGGAGCUUGAGUCCGGGAGAGGUGAGUGGAACUGCGAGUGUAGAGGUGAAAUGCGUAGAUAUUCGCAAGAACACCAGUGGCGAAGGCGGCUCACUGGCCCGGUACUGACGCUGAGGUGCGAAAGCGUGGGGAGCAAACAGG